UGGGAUGGAGACAGGGAAUGCUCUGGCAUGAAACUACAUGGAAUUCAUAAACAAGCAUCAGUUGGCUUCCUCACGCUGAUGGAGUCACUGCGCUACUGCAAGGUUGGAACAUUCCUCAAGUCUCCAAAGUUCCCUAUUUGGAUUCUUGGCAGUGAAACUCAUC
Nematolebias whitei (Rio pearlfish) is the source of this 163-nucleotide long non-coding RNA. RefSeq lists it as uncharacterized. The record is from RefSeq and is a predicted model, not a curated record. Lineage: Eukaryota; Metazoa; Chordata; Actinopteri; Cyprinodontiformes; Rivulidae. The transcript is spliced from 3 exons.